This 441-nucleotide ribosomal RNA is filed under the name uncultured Bacteroidota bacterium. Its description in RNAcentral is "bacterial SSU rRNA". It matches the Rfam family "Bacterial small subunit ribosomal RNA", at positions 1079 to 1533 of the family's 1533-position model. The record is from RNAcentral. Lineage: Bacteria; Pseudomonadati; Bacteroidota.
GGUAGUCUAUACGAGCGCACCUAUCUUAGUUGCCAGCGGUUCGGCCGGGGACUCUAAGAAAACUGCCAGUGCAAGCUGCGAGGAAGGUGGGGAUGACGUCAAAUCAUCACGGCCCUUACGACCUGGGCCACACACGUGCUACAAUGGUAGGUACAAAGAGCAGCCACUUGGCGACAAGGAGCUAAUCUCAAAAACCUAUCUCAGUUCGGAUUGGAGUCUGAAACUCGACUCUAUGAAGCUGGAAUCGCUAGUAAUCGCGCAUCAGCCAUGGCGCGGUGUAUACGUUCCCGGGCCUUGUACACACCGCCCGUCAAGCCAUGGAAGCUGGGAGUACCUGAAGUCGGUAACCAUAUAGGAGCUGCCUAGGGUAAAACUAGUAACUGGGGCUAAGUCGUAACAAGGUAGCCGUACCGGAAGGUGUGGCUGGAACACCUCCUUUCU